This 301-nucleotide ribosomal RNA is filed under the name uncultured bacterium. RNAcentral describes it as "partial 16S ribosomal RNA". It matches the Rfam family "Bacterial small subunit ribosomal RNA", at positions 509 to 808 of the family's 1533-position model. The record is from RNAcentral.
CAGCGCCGCGGUAAUACGUAGGUGGCAAGCGUUGUCCGGAACUAUUGGGCGUAAAGGGCUCGCAGGCGGUUUCUUAAGUCUGAUGUGAAAGCCCCAGGCUCAACCGGGGAGGGUCAUUGGAAACUGGGAAACUUGAGUGCAGAAGAGGAGAGUGGAAUUCCACGUGUAGCGGUGAAAUGCGUAGAGAUGUGGAGGAACACCAGUGGCGAAGGCGACUCUCUGGUCUGUAACUAACGCUGAGGAGCGAAAGCGUGGGGAGCGAACAGGAUUAGAUACCCGGGUAGUCCCUGUCUCUUAUACA